This 462-nucleotide long non-coding RNA is filed under the name Mytilus galloprovincialis (Mediterranean mussel). Lineage: Eukaryota; Metazoa; Mollusca; Bivalvia; Mytilida; Mytilidae. The record is from RNAcentral.
CAAGGCACACCAUCCUUCCAUAGAUUUUUCACGUCUUUACACGUCAAGUCGUCAUCUGAUUCUUUGUAACAAACUUGCCAUAAUCCACCAUGAUAACUAUAACCAGCACCAGACUGGCUAUACCAGUAUGGCAAAUAAGAUGCUACUCCAUGGGCAACAAAGCCAAUUAAGGACAUCAAAAACCCAACAACAACAAGUCCUCUGUGUUUCCUUCGCUCCAUUUGUCAAGAAUAAUCUGAUCAAACUAUAGUUGUUGCGUCUACACUUUGCUUACGUUUUCUAAAAACACUCCUUCCUGCUUUCCGUUCUUAGCCCUAGUAAUUAGUCCAUAGCCCACAUUUUUAAAGGUUUGUAUAAUUACAAGAAAAACAGAGGAUCCCGAUGGGUAUUUAAACCAUAAAAAAGGAGUCGUGUGUUGUCAUAUUUUUGCUAACAAAGCGUGGUUACAAGACAUGUAUUUUA